Molecule: long non-coding RNA, 1325 nt
Filed under: Bos taurus (domestic cattle)
Lineage: Eukaryota; Metazoa; Chordata; Mammalia; Artiodactyla; Bovidae
Description: long non-coding RNA NONBTAT025800
Source: RNAcentral
CACUGCAAUUUGAGGACACAGGAAAAAGUGUCUAUCUCAAAACCUCAUCUUGACUGCUUUGCAUGUCUUUGGGUCCUGAAUCAUUUUUUCCUCUGCCAUUUUUCUUGCCUUCCGCAUCUAGCCUUCUGAUGGCAAGUUUAGUUUUCCAGUUCUUCAUGGAGGAGUUAUUGGGUAGGCUUGGCAGUUCCAACAGGCAUCAUGACUUGGUUAGUCCCGGUAUGUAAAGGACAGAGUUCACAUGAAGCACACUUUUUUUUUGGCCUCACAAUUUUACCUCACAACUACGCUGUUGGUCGUAGCCCUAGUCAGUGUCCUGAGGAUCACUGCAUGGCUUAACCACAAACACGACUGCUAACUAUCCACACAGAAACAAAACUGGUAGUCUGUGAAAAUCACCAUUAGGUUUUACCUAGUAAACUGCAUCCCAUGAGUUCCCAAUCUCAUUUAUCCUGUUAAAGAAGCAUGUAAUCGACAUGCAAAUGCUUGCAUUUCCCCUGCAGAGACAGUCAUGCAGUUCAACUUUUAGAUUUGUGAAUACUAAAUUAUGAAGGGAAGAAGGGUGAGCUGUGGAUUGCAUGCAUAUUGUCCUCCAUACUUCAAUGACAGUCAUUCACAAAAUGAGUUUUACCUGGGUGAAAUAUUAUUAUAUUAACUAUACAUAAACAUACUUAUUCUCUUUGUAACUUUUUAUCAUCAAAACUGAAUGAUAAAUGUGUCUUGAAAUGAUUGGGUGAAUUGUGACUAAUGGAUCAAAUUAAGUUAGCUACUAUAAUUUUUUUUCAAUAUUAAAAUUUCUAAAAUCUUUUUUGAAGCAGAGUAACUCAGUCAAUAAAAGUGGUUAUGUUGUAAACUUUAAGACGGUGCUUAAGAAUUCUUGUUAAAUACCUUUUUUCUUUUUUAAGAAUAAAUUGAAGGGAGCAAAUGAGGCAGAACGCCACUCUACCCUCAGGUCAAUUUUGUGCUGUGUUAAAAUGCCAAUAACAUUUGUGCCACUUGCCAGUUUGGGGGGCUUUCCCCUUACUGGAUGUUUUCUUAUAGUUUGACUGUGUAUUACAUGGCUUAGAGAGCUUCCACGUGAAGAAGUCACCAUGGCAGUGCUAACUAGCAUUCAUAAACAACCUGAAUGAAUCUAGGGUCAAACCACUUUCAUCACUAAAAAUACAGGCACUGAUUGUUAUCAGGCUGACUAAUUUCUAAUUUCCAGUGAGUGAUCUUAUCCUACAUAUUACACAGGUAUAAUAUCUGUGACUGUACAUAACUGGAACUGUAUACUCAUUAAUAUGACAGUUUCUCUUUUUUGUGUGUUGUUCUGAAACCUGUACUGU